UCCUACGGGGCGCAGCAGUGAGGAAUAUUGGUCAAUGGGCGAGAGCCUGAACCAGCCAAGUCGCGUGAGGGAUGACUGCCCUAUGGGUUGUAAACCUCUUUUGUAUGGGGGGAAUAAGCUUUACGAGUAGAGUGAUGACAGUACCAUACGAAUAAGCAUCGGCUAACUCCGUGCCAGCAGCCGCGGUAAUCCGGAGGAUGCGAGCGUUAUCCGGUUUUAUUGGGUUUAAAGGUUGCGUAGGCGGCUUUAUAAUUUAGUGGUAAAAUAUUGGGGCUUCCCCUCACUCCCCCCUUAAUACUGU
Molecule: ribosomal RNA, 301 nt
Filed under: uncultured bacterium
Lineage: Bacteria
Description: bacterial SSU rRNA
Rfam family: Bacterial small subunit ribosomal RNA
Source: RNAcentral